GUGGGUUAGAUACCCGGGUAGUCCACGCCGUAAACGAUGUCGACUUGGAGGUUGUUCCCUUGAGGAGUGGCUUCCGGAGCUAACGCGUUAAGUCGACCGCCUGGGGAGUACGGCCGCAAGGUUAAAACUCAAAUGAAUUGACGGGGGCCCGCACAAGCGGUGGAGCAUGUGGUUUAAUUCGAUGCAACGCGAAGAACCUUACCUACUCUUGACAUCCAGAGAACUUAGCAGAGAUGCUUUGGUGCCUUCGGGAACUCUGAGACAGGUGCUGCAAGGCCGUCGACAGCU
RNAcentral lists this ribosomal RNA (288 nucleotides) under uncultured bacterium. RNAcentral describes it as "partial 16S ribosomal RNA". It matches the Rfam family "Bacterial small subunit ribosomal RNA", at positions 773 to 1060 of the family's 1533-position model. The record is from RNAcentral.